CCCUAUGGGGUGCAGCAGGUUGAGAUAACCCAGCACCGGCUGAAGGGGCGUCCUUAAUUCGUGGGCAACCGCACGCAUCAUCUCGCGCCUGCGUUCCUUGGUCUGCUCGACCCGUUCGCGGUACUCUUCCCACUCGGUAUUGUCGACAAGAUUUAUCAGUCCCGCCGGCUGGUUGUCCCGCAUAAUCGGGGUGAAGUAGAGGACCGCCCUGCGUGUAUCGCCUUUUUUUGUGACGAACCGGAACUCGGCCCGGCCCGGGACCGGCGCCGGAUCGACCCAGCGCCUGCUGAACGCUGCAAACCGUUCCGUGUCAUCGGCAAGAACAAAGUCAGCUAGGUGCAUGCCAAUACACUCAUCCGGUUCGUAACCGGAGAACCGCAGGAAGGCCGGGUUGGCAAAAAGGAUCGCGGUAUGUCGGGCAAUGACAAUACCGGCGGGGGAGC
RNAcentral lists this ribosomal RNA (443 nucleotides) under uncultured prokaryote. RNAcentral's name for it is "partial 16S ribosomal RNA". The record is from RNAcentral.